GAUGAACGCUGGCGGCGUGCCUAAUACAUGCAAGUCGAGCGAACAGACGAGGAGCUUGCUCCUCUGACGUUAGCGGCGGACGGGUGAGUAACACGUGGAUAACCUACCUAUAAGACUGGGAUAACUUCGGGAAACCGGAGCUAAUACCGGAUAAUAUAUUGAACCGCAUGGUUCAAUAGUGAAAGACGGUUUUGCUGUCACUUAUAGAUGGAUCCGCGCCGCAUUAGCUAGUUGGUAAGGUAACGGCUUACCAAGGCAACGGUGCGUAGCCGACCUGAGAGGGUGAUCGGCCACACUGGAACUGAGCCACGGUCCAGACUCCUACGGGAGGCAGCAGUAGGGAAUCUUCCGCAAUGGGCGAAAGCCUGACGGAGCAACGCCGCGUGAGUGAUGAAGGUCUUCGGAUCGUAAAACUCUGUUAUUAGGGAAGAACAAAUGUGUAAGUAACUAUGCACGUCUUGACGGUACCUAAUCAGAAAGCCACGGCUAACUACGUG
Molecule: ribosomal RNA, 497 nt
Filed under: uncultured bacterium
Lineage: Bacteria
Description: partial 16S ribosomal RNA
Rfam family: Bacterial small subunit ribosomal RNA
Source: RNAcentral